This 2024-nucleotide non-coding RNA is filed under the name Pongo abelii (Sumatran orangutan). The record is from RNAcentral. Lineage: Eukaryota; Metazoa; Chordata; Mammalia; Primates; Hominidae.
CACAUCCCUUCGCGGCCCCGAGCGUCCGGCCUCCGCGCCCGCGCCGCCCGGCGCCCCGGCCUUGACCCCGGGCCCGCGCCCUACCCGCUGACGCCGGCCGCUCUGCGCCCAGGCACCAGCCCGCACCCCGGACGCGAGGUCUGACCCAUGACCCCGGGGACGCCCAGUGCCCAGUCCUUGGGAAGAACCAGGCCCCGGGAGAGGAGCUUCUUCAGGGCGCGUCCCAGACUCUGCGUCUCGAGUGAACGCCUACUGUGUGCCUGGCUCUGAGCACGGGACUGUCGCCGCCACGGCAUCCUUAGGAACCUUCCCACUAACCCAGUGGGAAGGCACAAUGGCUGUUACCAGCGAUCGCUCUUCCCUCCCCAGUCAAUGCCAACUCCCCCCCGCCCCGCCUCAGAGACCCCGCUGUCUUUAGAUACAGGCCACCCCAGAGCCCUGCUCUGCCCCAAGAUCAAUUACUGCGCACCCGGUUCCCCUGGGGUCCUUCAGUUAAUCCUCCUCACCCCGAAGUCUGGAACCUGCCUUACACAUGGAAGCGGUUAGCUACUUCGCUUCAGCAAAAGUUCACUUUCGGAACCAAGUUGGGAAUUACUAAUGUAGACAGUGAUUCCUUAUCAUCACACACGUUUUUUAAAAACUGCGGACAGGCCGAAAGAGGAGGGGCCGCCACAAAGCCCGCCACGUCUUCCUAAAUUGGUUUACCACCUGAAGGCAUUGGUGCCCCAUCCCGGCUACUUAAAUGGGGGCCUGCCCUCUACUCCCCUCCCUCCAAAGUGUGGAGCCAGAAGCCACUUCUCCAUCCAGCUGUGAACUAAAUUUGGAUAAUAAUACACAUCCCUCAGGGUUGAUGUGAAGUUUAAAGUGCCGCUACUGGGGAUUAUGGAGGUAAUUAGAGACCCCCACCCCCACCCCCAGUCCUCAGGCUGCGCGGGAAUCGCAGCGGCAGUAACCUCCACCUCACCGGGAUGCUUUACACCUUACUUUAAGAGUUUGCAAAACAAUGUCCAAUACCUGCCAUUCAUGCAUUCGUUAAUUCGAUUAAGUACUGAGAACGUAUUUUGUGUCAUGCAUCGAUUUGGGUGCUGGAUAUGAAACAGCCAAGAGAACAGGCAGAAAUCUCUGCCCUCCUGGAGUUUGCAGUCUCGUGGGGGAAAGAAAGACAAACGGGAGAAUGUGUCAGAGGGUCUCCAUGCGGUGGAGAAAAAUAAGGCGGAGAAGGUGAAUAGGAAGUGUGAGAUAAGAAUGAGGCUCAAAUACAAGAGAAGGCCUCUAUGAGAAAGUAACAUUUAAAGCCUGAAGAAAUUGAGGGAAAAAGCCGUGUGGAUGUCUGGGGAAGAACUGCGCCGAGCAUGAGGAAUAGCAAGUGCAAAGGCUAGGGGUAGGAGUGUGUCCAAAAUAGUCAACACAGAGCGAGUGUGAGUUUGGAGUAGAAUGGGUGAAGUGGAAAGUAACAGGAGAUGAAGCUGGAAAAAUGAUGAUGCUUAUGAUGCUUCUGGUCCCAAAACAAAGCAUUACGGAUGUAUGAGGAUUUCCCAAAGAAAAGAUGUAAGGAAAGGUGCAGAGACCCUCCCCCACACACCACCUUGUUGUUCCAUCCUUCUCUGUGUCUUUGGGCAAGGACUCUCCGUUCUGUGGGGACCACCAGGUGAAAUUAAAGUCUACACUCCUCCAAGAGCUGAUCUUGGGGCGGCCCCCUCUCCAUGCCCCUCCACAGCGUGCCAUUCUCAUAGAACACACUAGGACCUUUGUCCUCUGGAGCUGUUCAAUGCAGCAGCUCUGACCUCAUCUUUCUCCAGAAGCCUCCACCUUCUCUCCCCUCUCUCCUCCUGCGCUUUGUGUGUCCUGUUCUUCCACUUCAGUGACCUGUCUCCUCCCCAAUCUGGCUCAGAGAGGUGUAGCAGCAGCUGCUGCUGCUGCUAUUGCUUCUUCUUCUGUUAAAGGUUUUUUAUUUUUUUCCAAUGACAAAAUAAAGCUAUGCUCAUUCUGAAAACAUGAACAAUAAAAAUGCUCAAAAAAUAAAA